This 412-nucleotide unclassified non-coding RNA is filed under the name soil metagenome. RNAcentral describes it as "partial contains 5.8S ribosomal RNA, internal transcribed spacer 2, and large subunit ribosomal RNA". The stretch from base 2 to 121 matches the Rfam family "5.8S ribosomal RNA", at positions 37 to 154 of the family's 154-position model. The record is from RNAcentral.
GUGAAGAACGUAGCGAAAUGCGAUACUUGGUGUGAAUUGCAGAAUCCCGUGAACCAUCGAGUCUUUGAACGCAAGUUGCGCCCGAAGCCGUCAGGCCGAGGGCACGCCUGCCUGGGCGUCACACGCCGUUGCCCCCCCCGCGCCCCGCACCCAACUCUUUGGGAGCGACCGCGGGGCGGGCUGAUGAUGGCCUCCCGUGCGCUCCGCCGCGCGGUUGGCCCAAAUACCGAGUCCCCGGCGACGUGCGCCACGACGAUCGGUGGUUGAGAGACCUCUGUCGCAAGUCGUGCGCGCCCGUCGCGUCACGCGGGCUCGCAUAGCGCCUCGCGCCGCACCCGGUGCGGAGCUUUCAACGCGACCCCAGGUCAGGCGGGGUUACCCGCUGAAUUUAAGCAUAUCAAUAAGCGGAGGA